RNAcentral lists this ribosomal RNA (460 nucleotides) under uncultured bacterium. Its description in RNAcentral is "partial 16S ribosomal RNA". It matches the Rfam family "Bacterial small subunit ribosomal RNA", at positions 338 to 795 of the family's 1533-position model. The record is from RNAcentral.
CCUACGGGGGGCAGCAGUGAGGAAUAUUGGUCAAUGGACUAGAGUCUGAACCAGCCAAGUAGCGUGAAGGAUGACUGCCCUAUGGGUUGUAAACUUCUUUUAUAUGGGAAUAAAAUGUUCCACGUGUGGGAUUUUGUAUGUACCAUAUGAAUAAGGAUCGGCUAACUCCGUGCCAGCAGCCGCGGUAAUACGGAGGAUCCGAGCGUUAUCCGGAUUUAUUGGGUUUAAAGGGAGCGUAGGUGGAUUGUUAAGUCAGUUGUGAAAGUUUGCGGCUCAACCGUAAAAUUGCAGUUGAAACUGGCAGUCUUGAGUACAGUAGAGGUGGGCGGAAUUCGUGGUGUAGCGGUGAAAUGCUUAGAUAUCACGAAGAACUCCGAUUGCGAAGGCAGUUCACUGGACUGCAACUGACACUGAGGCUCGAAAGUGUGGGUAUCAAACAGGAUUAGAUACCCGGGUAGUC